GCUGGGCAUGGGGGUGCAUGCCUGUAAUCCCAGCAGCACAGGAGGCUGAGGCAAGAGGAUCAAGAGUUCAAAGUCAGCCUCAG
This 83-nucleotide small RNA is filed under the name Marmota monax (woodchuck). The record is from RNAcentral. Lineage: Eukaryota; Metazoa; Chordata; Mammalia; Rodentia; Sciuridae.